Non-coding RNA from Trametes cingulata, 102 nucleotides. The record is from the annotation of a GenBank genome assembly. NCBI's taxonomy places the organism in Eukaryota, Fungi, Basidiomycota, Agaricomycetes, Polyporales, Polyporaceae.
GGUGCUAUAGUGUAGUGGUUAUCACUCGGGAUUUUGACCGACUGCGUCUAUGCCGUUGCCGGACACGUUCCCGAAACCCAGGUUCGAACCCUGGUAGCACCU